Triticum dicoccoides is the source of this 1245-nucleotide long non-coding RNA. RefSeq lists it as uncharacterized. NCBI's taxonomy places the organism in Eukaryota, Viridiplantae, Streptophyta, Magnoliopsida, Poales, Poaceae. The record is from RefSeq and is a predicted model, not a curated record. The transcript is spliced from 4 exons.
GGAGUCCAUCCUGCCGUCACCUGCAGUUGCCAAAUCGUGAGGGUUCGAGCCGCAUCUCCAGACUCCCUUCCGCCGCCGGCGCCGGCGGCACCUCGCAGCUCGCUGCCUGCCUCCGUCCUCCAACUCCAUGUCGGCAAGUCUUCCCCAUCCUUAGUCUGUACGCAAGGAAUGACGUGUAGGUUUGUGAUGGCGAUUUCCCAGGGAGUUAUUCAGAUCCCCCUGAAUGAAAAAGAUCAGAGAAUGCCGUUUUCCCGUAUCGCCGUAUCCGUAUCUCUGUACUCGUAUCCCCGUACCAUGUAACAUAGGAGGCCGCGGAUGCAGCCGUUGAGGCGGACGGCGGUCUAUGGCGACCGCGGCGACGGAGAAGGUCGGCGAAUCUGAGGCGCGAAUCGGCGACGAAGUCCGGGUCGUCGCUGGCUCUAGUUCCAGGUCGUAUUUUGACUGUGCGGUUUCUUUAGCAAUUGUAUCCACGUGAAUUGCCUUGAUGUGUCUGCUGCGGUCAACAGAACUUGCUAGCAUCGACGUUGGCGGCUUGAAGUCAAUUCGGAGGCAACAACUCAAGGUUUUAGGCGAACCCCGACGACGAUGAUGCUGCUGCAGCGAUUUGGUUGAGGCAAGGCCCACUUGAAUCGGCCUACUGUAGAAAGCGGGAUUAUACAGGGGCAGUUUGGCGCUCACACCGCAGCAGUGGCGAGGCGGAGUUGGGGCCGUGACCUUUCUUGACGAAUCCAAAUCCAGGUCUCCCUCGUGGCACUUGUCGUAUUCUUAGAGGAAAAAAAAAUUAAGCCUCGAAUCCGUGUCUCCCUCGUGAUGGUGAAGACAGGCGACUCGGCAGCGGCGGUCAAGGCGACCUGGCGCAUCAAAUUAACCUGAGUUGGCUAGUCUGAACAUGGUCUUCUUCUUUUUUUAUUCACAUCAACUCGCAUCUUGAAGCUGGUGCAAACAGAACACCUUUCAGCUAGUCCAUCAUGAUGACCAGGUUUGCUAGAGCAAACAAAUCGGCUAUUGAUCUCGGGAUUUGAAGCAAACAACUACGGUUUGAUGGAUGUGAGCAUAUCUCUUCCUUUGAUCUAACGUGGAGGCAACUCACAAUUGACAACUUGGAUUUGGCAGCGGCGGCAGACCACACCGUAACCCUAAUUUCUCUUUUUUGACUUGAAUCUUCUGGAUUGUAAAAUCUAAACCAGUAACCACAAGGCUAAGUCUUUCUUAUCCGAAGAAUUGUAAACUCCUCGAUCCCUGAGA